RNAcentral lists this ribosomal RNA (590 nucleotides) under Ochrobactrum sp. POC9. Its description in RNAcentral is "bacterial LSU rRNA". It matches the Rfam family "Bacterial large subunit ribosomal RNA", at positions 1 to 597 of the family's 2925-position model. The record is from RNAcentral. Lineage: Bacteria; Pseudomonadati; Pseudomonadota; Alphaproteobacteria; Hyphomicrobiales; Brucellaceae.
AUAAGGUUAAGUUAAUAAGGGCGCACGGUGGAUGCCUUGGCACUAGGAGCCGACGAAGGACGUGACAAACGACGAUAUGCCUUGGGUAGCUGUAAGUAAGCGAUGAUCCAGGGAUUUCCGAAUGGGGGAACCCAACAGGUAAUACCUGUUACCUACAUCUGUUAAGGAUGUGAGGAGGAAGACGCAGUGAACUGAAACAUCUAAGUAGCUGCAGGAAGAGAAAGCAAAAGCGAUUGCCUUAGUAGCGGCGAGCGAAACGGCAGAAGGGCAAACCGAAGAGUUUACUCUUCGGGGUUGUAGGACUGCAAUGUGGACUCAAAGAUUAUAGAAGAAUGAUUUGGGAAGAUCAGCCAAAGAGAGUAAUAGCCUCGUAUUUAAAAUAGUCUUUGUACUUAGCAGUAUCCUGAGUACGGCGGGACACGUGAAAUCCCGUCGGAAUCUGGGAGGACCAUCUCCCAACCCUAAAUACUCCCUAGUGACCGAUAGUGAACCAGUACCGUGAGGGAAAGGUGAAAAGCACCCCGGGAGGGGAGUGAAAUAGAACCUGAAACCGUGUGCCUACAACAAGUUCGAGCCCGUUAAUGGGUGAG